CACCCGCAGCUCGAGUAGUGGUCACUUUUAUUGAGCCUAAAGCGUUUGUAGCCGGUUUUGCAAAUCUUCAGAUAAAUUCCUCUGCUUAACAGAUGAUCUUCUGAAGAGACUGCGAGACUUGGGACCGGGUGAGGUUGAAGGUACUUCCGGGGUAGGGGUAAAAUCCUGUAAUCCUGGAAGGACGACCGGUGGCGAAGGCGUUCAACUAGAACGGAUCCGACGGUGAGGAACGAGGGCUAGGGUAGCAAACCGGAUUAGAUACCCGGGUAGUCCUAGCUGUAAACACUGCCCACUUGGUGUUGCCCCUCCGAUGAGGGGAGGCAGUGCCGGAGCGAAGGUGUUAAGUGGGCCGCUUGGGGAGUAUGGUCGCAAGGCUGAAACUUAAAGGAAUUGGCGGGGGAGCACCGCAACGGGAGGAGCGUGCGGUUUAAUUGGAUUCAACGCCGGAAAACUCACCGGGAGCGACCUUUGGAUGAGAGUCAGCCUGAUGAGCUUACUCGAUAGAAGGAGAGGUGGUGCAUGGCCGUCGUCAGCUCGUACCGUAGGGCGUUCACUUAAGUGUGAUAACGAGCGAGACCCCCAUCUCUAAUUGCUAACGUGCAUUCGCGUGCACGCGCACUUUAGAGGGACCGCCAGUGCUAAACUGGAGGAAGGAGGGGUCGACGGCAGGUCAGUACGCCCCGAAUCUCCCGGGCAACACGCGCGCUACAAAGGGCAGGACAAUGAGUUGCCACCUCGAAAGGGGGAGCUAAUCUCGAAACCUGUUCGUAGUUAGGAUUGAGGGCUGUAACUCGCCCUCAUGAAUGUGGAUUCCGUAGUAAUCGCGGGUCAACAGCCCGCGGUGAAUAUGCCCCUGCUCCU
This 861-nucleotide ribosomal RNA is filed under the name uncultured archaeon. Its description in RNAcentral is "bacterial SSU rRNA". It matches the Rfam family "Archaeal small subunit ribosomal RNA", at positions 474 to 1337 of the family's 1478-position model. The record is from RNAcentral.